GCUUUUUACAGGGGAUUCUUCUGACUGUGGGGUAAAACAACAGUGUUCACUUGAGAAGACCUGUAAAGAGAGAGGCGCUGUCUCUGUUCUUCUACCUGGGACAGCAGUUCCAACCUGGAGAGCUCUCUGAUAGUGUACUCCACACCGACACCUCAGGGCACUUGGACAGAUCAAAGAGACAGUGCGCUUGCCAUGAAUUCCAGCCUCCUCAGCAUGACUAUAGCUGCAGAGGUAUUGAUCCCUAGGCACUCCCUAACAAACGUCCAUCUCAGAGUCUGCUUAAUACAGAACCCAACCUGGGAAACUCCGAAUUGACUUGCAGCCUGCAGAGGAGAAGACAGAAGAGGUCACCCAUGGAAGAGAAAAGGAACAUGGAGAAGAGAGCGAAAAGAAGACUUAUUCAGGGGAGCCGUGGAAAAAGAAGUGAAUUACCAUUCCAGGAUUGGUGACAUGUUUAGCCCCCAGAGCAGUAUUGUCCAAUAGCAACAUACUGUGAGCCACAAAUACAAGCUCUCCAAGGGAUUUUAAAUUUUCUAGUAGGCACAUUAAAAAAGUAAGAAGAAACCCAUUAUAUUCAACGUGUUUUCAUUUUAAUAUGCAAUCAAUACAACCCUUUUUAAUGACAAAUUUUACAUCAUUUUUUUUUCUGUGCUAAAUACUUGGAAUUUGGUGUGCAUUUUAUAUUUGCAGCACAUCUCAGUUGGGUUUAGCCACAUUUCAAGUGCUCAAAGGCCACAAAUGACU
RNAcentral lists this long non-coding RNA (744 nucleotides) under Equus caballus (horse). Its description in RNAcentral is "lncRNA (ENSECAG00000028655.3)". The record is from RNAcentral. Lineage: Eukaryota; Metazoa; Chordata; Mammalia; Perissodactyla; Equidae.